This 572-nucleotide ribosomal RNA is filed under the name Colletotrichum sp. 6304. Its description in RNAcentral is "eukaryotic LSU rRNA". The stretch from base 196 to 349 matches the Rfam family "5.8S ribosomal RNA". The record is from RNAcentral. Lineage: Eukaryota; Fungi; Ascomycota; Sordariomycetes; Glomerellales; Glomerellaceae.
UUUUUUGUGGCGUGCAGCUCUAUACCCUUUGUGACAUACCUACAACUGUUGCUUCGGCGGGUAGGCCGUCCCCUGAAAAGGACGCCUCCCGGCCCGGACCGGACCCCCCGUGGGGCCGGACUCGGCGCCCGCCGGAGGAUAACCAAACGCUAUUUUAACGACGUUUCUUCUGAGUGGCAUAAGCAAAAUAAUCAAAACUUUUAACAACGGAUCUCUUGGUUCUGGCAUCGAUGAAGAACGCAGCGAAAUGCGAUAAGUAAUGUGAAUUGCAGAAUUCAGUGAAUCAUCGAAUCUUUGAACGCACAUUGCGCCCGCCAGCAUUCUGGCGGGCAUGCCUGUUCGAGCGUCAUUUCAACCCUCAAGCUCUGCUUGGUGUUGGGGCUCUACGGUCGACGUAGGCCCUCAAAGGUAGUGGCGGACCCUCCCGGAGCCUCCUUUGCGUAGUAACAUUUCGUCUCGCACUGGGAUCCGGAGGGACUCUUGCCGUAAAACCCCCCAAUUUUUCAAGGUUGACCUCGGAUCAGGUAGGAAUACCCGCUGAACUUAAGCAUAUCAAAGCCCCGGGAGGAAAA